This is a long non-coding RNA of Dipodomys spectabilis (banner-tailed kangaroo rat), 479 nucleotides long. RefSeq lists it as uncharacterized. The record is from RefSeq and is a predicted model, not a curated record. Lineage: Eukaryota; Metazoa; Chordata; Mammalia; Rodentia; Heteromyidae. The transcript is spliced from 3 exons.
AAAAGAUUGAGGAUAAUAAUGGCUGAAAGAUUUUCCCAAGGAUAUGGCAGAGAUGAUAUCUUAUCUUCUGGCUCCUUAUCUUGUGCCCUUUCCACUUUGCAACCCUGGCUGUCUGACAGAGAUAGACCUUCAGUCCGCCAGCUAGCCUGCCAGCUAAAUGGAUGUACACCUAGAGUAUCCAGAACAAUGCACUAGUAAUUGCAUCCAAGGAUAAAGACAAUUUUAUUCAUGGAUAAAGUGCUCUACGAAGGGGAUCUUAUAAUCACAUCACCCACUUUCAUAACCAUCAAAGGCGUACAACAUCUAAGUCCAAUUAAUGGAGGAUAGAACCAUAUGGACAUCUGUUUCAGUGAUGUGGAUGCUGAUAGCAUUCUCAACUAGGACUGAAGAAGUGCAUCUAAUACUUUGGAAAGCACAUCUGCCAAUUACCAAAGCAUCUGAGUUCAUCUGAAAUAGAGACUUUCUUUGCCAUCAGCUCU